RNAcentral lists this long non-coding RNA (801 nucleotides) under Sus scrofa (pig). Its description in RNAcentral is "lncRNA (ENSSSCG00040008257.1)". Lineage: Eukaryota; Metazoa; Chordata; Mammalia; Artiodactyla; Suidae. The record is from RNAcentral.
GGGGAUCACCUCCCAGCCUAAGGUUGCUUUCUGAGGUCCGGGCUGGAACCUAUGUUCCUUUAAAUCUGCCCAGAUCACCGGGAAAUGCUGCCUUUGCUGGGUUUGCACGCUGAGCACCUGACACACCUGCUGCUGAGGCAGCGUGAGUCACCCGCACAGACACUGCUCACUGGACUCCAGUUCAGAGCUUGGCUGUCACGCACCCCGGAUGUCAUCCCCCACCUACCCCUCUGAAGGCAUGUCAGGACAGAUCAGGCUCUAACCCAAUGUCUACUCAACGGCUCACCCCCAGGGGAAGCACACGGAAGGAUGGGAGGGGUACACAAGGAUGCGUCUCCCAUGAAGACCCGUUCAUGGUCAAGGGUCUUCUCCCCUCUGUGUCCUGGAACAUCUCAUCUGCCCUGCUGGCCAUAAAUAGGGCGGAGGGGAUCCUGAACUGAAUUCUGGCCCCCACUUUGAGCAUCUCACUGUGGAUAUAUGAGGUGUCUGGCUCGCCUCUCUUCCCAAGCAGGUGCUCGUGGCACUGACACCCUGCACACCGUUCAAGAGAGAUCCGUGACAGCUUCCAGAAGUCUUAUUUGCAGGACGGACUUCUGGGUGAGAAACGGAUUGGCCCUGCCAGCAGGGCCGGAGGUAGGAGAGGAAGUUUCACAUCUGGGAAAGCAUCCCCAGGAAACCAUCUUCAGGGGUGAAGUCGGGGAGUUGAGGACAAAGAGAGAGAAGGAAAGGGAGGUCCCUGGUUUAUCUGUGCAUCGAGGUGGACUCUUGCUCAGUCAUUCAUUCAACAAACAUAGACUGUAG